This 425-nucleotide ribosomal RNA is filed under the name uncultured bacterium. Its description in RNAcentral is "partial 16S ribosomal RNA". It matches the Rfam family "Bacterial small subunit ribosomal RNA", at positions 354 to 796 of the family's 1533-position model. The record is from RNAcentral.
GUGGGGAAUAUUGGGCAAUGGGCGAAAGCCUGACCCAGCAACGCCGCGUGAAGGAAGAAGGUUUUCGGAUCGUAAACUUCUAUCCUUGGUGAAGAUAAUGACGGUAGCCAAGAAGGAAGCCCCGGCUAACUACGUGCCAGCAGCCGCGGUAAUACGUAGGGGGCAAGCGUUGUCCGGAAUGAUUGGGCGUAAAGGGCGCGUAGGCGGCCCGGUAAGUCUGAAGUGAAAGUCCUGCUUUUAAGGUGGGAAUUGCUUUGGAUACUGUCGGGCUUGAGUGCAGGAGAGGUAAGCGGAAUUCCCGGUGUAGCGGUGAAAUGCGUAGAGAUCGGGAGGAACACCAGUGGCGAAGGCGGCUUACUGGACUGUAACUGACGCUGAGGCGCGAAAGUGUGGGGAGCAAACAGGAUUAGAAACCCCAGUAGUCC